AUCUAAAGACAGCGAAAACCCCUAAUGUUAAAUCAUAGAAAUCGCACAGUUUUGCCUGAGGGCUUCUUGCAGUGGAAGAUGACUAAGAUGAUAAACCAAACCAGUUUUUAUAGCGCAUGCGCAUUGAUGCGAUUGUUCUCCCUCCUGCAUCACUCCUCCCCCGUAGUACUAUGCUGAACGUGAGCUGUGAAUUUUGGACUAAAGCUUGACCAUUGAAAGAUAUUUAGCUGUUUGAGGUGAUCAACCAAGAGGAUAAAACUAAAAAAAGCUGAAUUGAGGUUUAGCAGUUUUUGUCUGAUUGGAUGUGAUUGUCAAAGAAGAUGGGAUUAAAGUAAGUAAAAGGUAUUACAAUUUUUUGGUUAUUAUCUAUUGUUUAAUAAUUCUUUUGUUUGCAUUAAUCGAAUGGCUGUUUUGAUGUUUCUAGAAGGUUACGUAAUAUUUUGUGUAUAUUGUAAUAGAAAAGGUCAUUGAAUUUACUAUAUAAAAAAUAUUAUAUUUAAUGUAUAAAAAAUGAUUGUGUGUAUUUACUCAGGUUAGUUGAAAUUAUAUAGAUAUAGUUAGUAAUAAUCAUACGUGGUUUAAAAAGAUCAGCUGCUAGAUGAAUUGUGUGUAGGUAAUCUGUUAUGUUUAUAAAUCAAUUGUGGCAUCAAAAGCUGUGAUCUAAAAGGAAAAUUUGCAGGUGCCAAGUGUUAGAGUUCUAUGUUUGAGAAGAUUCUUCUAAAGUUCUAAGAUUGCUCAGAUUGUGUAAUUACAGCUAACAUAAUUAUAACUGAUAUAUUAUGAGGUGUAGUGUGUUCUCAGAUGAGAGCAAAUAAUAAUUUAUGUAUGUAAAACUGAAAAGAGAAUUGCAUUCAUGUUUCAUUUCUUUUAAGAUAAGAGUUAUGAUUUUCUUACCUUUGUCUUUGAUUUUUUAUAAGAUUUAUGGUAGUAAUUCAACAAGUUUUUUAUAAACAAAAAUAGUUAUAGAUAGUAAGAAGAAAGCGACAGGAUAUCAUGGCAGAGUAAGAAUGUUAAGCACAAAGAUAAUAUGAUUAUUUAUAGUGUAGUAUUUUACAUUUGAUUAGUUUUUCACUAUGUCAGGGGUGUAAAUAAAAUUUUUUUAAGGACAAUUAUAAAUUGAAGAUCACCUAAUUAAAAUUGAUCUAUGAUGUGUAUUUUCAAAAUAGUGUAAGACAUUCUCUUAGGGGUGUAAAGAAAUCUGGUAGGGAGGUUUUAAAAAAGAUUAAGCUGUAUAAAAACUGAGCAGGAAGCGUUUAGGUGAUCUCUUACUCCCAGAUAUGCUGCAAUGUUCAAAUUUUUCUUUAAGAACUAUGUGCUUAAAGUGUAUUCAUGAAUGUAGUAUAAGCUUUAUAGUUGUAUAAAUGUUUUUCUGAAUGAGAAUAGUUAUAGAAAACAAAUUAGAAAGCCAUAGGCCUUUACCUGCUCUGUGCUUAGCGUGAAAAAAUUAAUCUCGAGGUUUAUGUGAAUUUCUUAUUUAGCUUACACCUAAAAAAUAAAAUUUAUUUCUGUAUAAUAACAUUUAUUCCCUUCCAGGUCAGGUAAGUAAUUGAGUCAUUUUAAAAUUAAUUAAAACCUUUUCAUAGAAUGAGUUCAUUUUAUUAAAAUGGCCUUCUUACAUGUAUUUUAAUUAAAUUCUGCCAUUGCAGAGUGAAGUUUGAUAACAAAAAACAACUGCUAGGUGUGAGCAUUCUUUAUGUAUGUAUUGUCCCUGUAUUGUAACUUAUUGUAACUAAACAUAGCAACAAAAAAAAAUGUAUUAUUAAAAUGUUUCUUUUAAGAUGAUUAUUUCUUAUGUUUUUCAUAAGAAAUGUGUACUUUAUAGGGUGCAUUCCUGAAUGUUGCAUAAGGUUUAUAAUAAUAACUAAGGUAUUAUAAUGUUAGAUAAUAGUGAUACAACAAGUUUUUUGUCAAUGAAAUAUUUACAAAAAUAAAAAGAAAGCUACAGGCUGUCAUGUACCUCAUAGGUAGCGUAAAGAAAUUAAUUCCAAGACAUUUAAAUUUUAGACACAUAUUUGGCAGCUAAAUGUAACAAAAUUUUACAAUUAUUGCAUAUCUGUAUAUUUUUCCCUUUCCAA
This is a long non-coding RNA of Parasteatoda tepidariorum (common house spider), 2075 nucleotides long. RefSeq lists it as uncharacterized. The record is from RefSeq and is a predicted model, not a curated record. Lineage: Eukaryota; Metazoa; Arthropoda; Arachnida; Araneae; Theridiidae.